UGUGUACCUGCAGUGUGUGUGUGUGUGUGUGUGUGUGUGUGUGUGUGUGUGUGAGAUCAUCAGAUGUUAAACUGUCCGACACCAGAGGGCAGUAGAGUAACCCCCCUCUCCCCUUCCUCACUGUUACCAUGGUUUCCCUGCACCCCCCACGCCCUCCUCAUCCCCUCUGUGUGUCACCAUGGAAACCCCUAACCCCCCUCCCCCCCUCCUCUUCAUCAUCAUCUUCUUAAUGUUGUUUUUUAUUUUCUUACUGGAGGUUUAUCAAGUUUUUCUGUUGAUUCCUUGUUCACUGUCAGCUGUGUAGAAACUUCAACUUUUAUAAUAAAACGACCAACUGAGGGAAAAACA
This is a long non-coding RNA of Sander lucioperca (pikeperch), 348 nucleotides long. RefSeq lists it as uncharacterized. NCBI's taxonomy places the organism in Eukaryota, Metazoa, Chordata, Actinopteri, Perciformes, Percidae. The record is from RefSeq and is a predicted model, not a curated record. The transcript has 2 exons.